UGGUUAAGUCCGCAACGAGCGCAACCCCUACUUGUUAGUUGCCAUCAUUCAGUUGGGCACUCUAGCGAGACUGCCGGUAAUAAACCGGAGGAAGGUGGGGAUGACGUCAAAUCAUCAUGCCCCUUACGACCUGGGCUACACACGUGCUACAAUGGUUGGUACAACGAGUUGCGAGUCGGUGACGGCGAGCUAAUCUCUUAAAGCCAAUCUCAGUUCGGAUUGUAGGCUGCAACUCGCCUACAUGAAGUCGGAAUCGCUAGUAAUCGCGGAUCAGCACGCCGCGGUGAAUACGUUCCCGGGCCUU
This 304-nucleotide ribosomal RNA is filed under the name uncultured Streptococcus sp. RNAcentral's name for it is "bacterial SSU rRNA". It matches the Rfam family "Bacterial small subunit ribosomal RNA", at positions 1077 to 1382 of the family's 1533-position model. The record is from RNAcentral. Lineage: Bacteria; Bacillati; Bacillota; Bacilli; Lactobacillales; Streptococcaceae.